GACGAACGCUGGCGGCGUGCCUAAUACAUGCAAGUAGAACGCACAGUUUAUACCGUAGCUUGCUACACCAUAAACUGUGAGUUGCGAACGGGUGAGUAACGCGUAGGUAACCUGCCUGGUAGCGGGGGAUAACUAUUGGAAACGAUAGCUAAUACCGCAUAAUAUUAAUUAUUGCAUGAUAAUUGAUUGAAAGAUGCAAUUGCAUCACUACCAGAUGGACCUGCGUUGUAUUAGCUAGUAGGUGAGGUAACGGCUCACCUAGGCGACGAUACAUAGCCGACCUGAGAGGGUGAUCGGCCACACUGGGACUGAGACACGGCCCAGACUCCUACGGGCGGCAGCAGUAGGGAAUCUUCGGCAAUGGACGAAAGUCUGACCGAGCAACGCCGCGUGAGUGAAGAAGGUUUUCGGAUCGUAAAGCUCUGUUGUAAGAGAAGAACGGGUGUGAGAGUGGAAAGUUCACACUGUGACGGUAUCUUACCAGAAAGGGACGGCUAACUACGUG
RNAcentral lists this ribosomal RNA (505 nucleotides) under uncultured bacterium. RNAcentral's name for it is "partial 16S ribosomal RNA". It matches the Rfam family "Bacterial small subunit ribosomal RNA", at positions 28 to 507 of the family's 1533-position model. The record is from RNAcentral.